Molecule: non-coding RNA, 98 nt
Organism: Aedes aegypti (yellow fever mosquito)
Lineage: Eukaryota; Metazoa; Arthropoda; Insecta; Diptera; Culicidae
Source: Rfam
UGCCCAUGCAACUCCUAUCCCUACCUCCUCGUGGUACUGGCCGGGAUACGAGUAACCAUGGGGAAGAUCGUCGUUUGGUCGUAUGCUGACAGGGAAGG